GUGAUCAUCUGUGUCUGUUCCAUCUUUCAAUAAGGGAGGAAAGUAAGACCUAGGAAUUUUAAAAGACUUGUCUAGAAAGAAGAUAAGUGAUGGGCAAGGUUAGCCGAAGUAGAAUGUACCUGACCCAGAGUGCUUUCUAUGACAUCACGCUGCCAACAAAUAGAAGACUAUUGUCAAUGGACCACUAAAUUACCUUCUCUGGUAACCUUCCAAAUGUGCAGACAUUCCAUCCUGAUGCUCUCCAUCACAAGGUAUGCUAGUGUAGUCCCAGAGCUGAGCUCAAAUGUUCUAGUCUUUCUCCUUCUUGAAAAGGGAAUUCAUAUGCCCCCUAUGAAUUUGGGUCAAGCCAGGUGCCUUGCUUUGGCAAGUGUAAUGCAGGAGAAAGUGGUAUGCCAGAAACCACGUUGGAGCUUCUCUUCCCUCCAUAAGAGCACCUUUCUGUAUUUCAGACACUGGAGACUCUGAUGCAAUGAUGGUAACCAGAACUUACCCUUUUCUGGAGAUUCCUGAGGAAACACAGAGGCAUAUGUUUCUGGGCUCACCUAACAAAUCAGUCACAUCACAGCCACCACCAUCAAACUAAAUCCACUGUGAGAGAGUUACUUCAGAGGACGGGUACCAUGGUGGGGUGUGUGUACGUGUGAAAUUUUGUUUGCUUCUUUGUUCAAGAUUACCUAUUACAGGAAUCUCUCAUUUAUGAUGGACCCUAUUUUAUGAAAAAUUACUAUUUAAUAAAUAAGUUGACUCGGGGA
Molecule: long non-coding RNA, 752 nt
Organism: Leopardus geoffroyi (Geoffroy's cat)
Lineage: Eukaryota; Metazoa; Chordata; Mammalia; Carnivora; Felidae
Exons: 2
Source: RefSeq, a predicted model, not a curated record